Molecule: ribosomal RNA, 462 nt
Filed under: uncultured bacterium
Lineage: Bacteria
Description: bacterial SSU rRNA
Rfam family: Bacterial small subunit ribosomal RNA
Source: RNAcentral
AACGAACGCUGGCGGCAGGCCUAACACAUGCAAGUCGAACGCUCGUAGCAAUACGGGAGUGGCAGACGGGUGCGUAACGCGUGGGAACAUACCCUUUGGUUCGGAAUAACUCAGGGAAACUUGAGCUAAUACCGGAUACGCCCGAGAGGGGAAAGAUUUAUUGCCGAAGGAUUGGCCCGCGUCUGAUUAGCUGGUUGGUAGGGUAACGGCCUACCAAGGCGACGAUCAGUAGCUGGUCUGAGAGGAUGAUCAGCCACACUGGGACUGAGACACGGCCCAGACUCCUACGGGAGGCAGCAGUGGGGAAUAUUGGACAAUGGGCGCAAGCCUGAUCCAGCCAUGCCGCGUGAGUGAUGACGGCCUUAGGGUUGUAAAGCUCUUUUACCCGGGAAGAUAAUGACGGUACCGGGAGAAUAAGCCCCGGCUAACUUCGUGCCAGCAGCCGCGGUAAGGCUACGUAGA